RNA transcript from Symsagittifera roscoffensis, 6265 nucleotides. It is a transcript of the gene named serine/threonine-protein kinase Genghis Khan-like, with no coding region annotated. NCBI's taxonomy places the organism in Eukaryota, Metazoa, Xenacoelomorpha, Acoela, Convolutidae. The transcript has 29 exons. The record is from RefSeq and is a predicted model, not a curated record.
UUAUGAAUGAAGUGGAUAGAGGUGAUAGACUUCAAAAACUUCUAACUCACGAAGGCAGUCAACAAAACGAAAGCUUUGUUGGACUAGAAGCGCUUGCUGAUGCGUUCAUUGCCCUGUAUGAUGAGUGUUCUCUGUCCACGCAAAAGAAGGAUAAAAAGUUUUCAAGUUUUCUCGAAUGGGCAAAAGACUAUGCUGUCCGGUUAAAAUACUAUCGACUCAGUAAAGAUGAAUUUGACAUUGUCAAGAUAAUAGGACAAGGCGCGUUUGGACAAGUUGCUGUGUGCAAAAAUAAGCUUUCUGGAAAAGUUUUUGCCAUGAAGACAUUGAACAAGCACGAAAUGAUCAGCCGAGCUGAGACGGCGUGCUACAAAGAAGAACGAGAUGUUCUGGUGUUCGGAGAUCAGAGAUGGAUCACGAAACUUCAUUUUGCUUUUCAAGAUACGAUAAAUUUGUACUUAAUCAUGGAUUAUUAUCCCGGCGGAGAUCUGUUGACGUUGCUGAGUAAGUACGAAGACAAGUUUCCUGAAGACAUGGCUCGCUUCUAUGCCGCAGAAAUGACCCUGGCAAUUCAUGCGUUGCACACAUUGGGCUAUGCGCACAGAGAUAUAAAGCCAGACAAUGUUCUGUUGCACAAUUCAGGUCACAUCAGACUUGCCGAUUUUGGAUCCUGUCUCAAGCUACAUGAAGAUGGUUUAGUGCAUUCCAAUGUAGCUGUUGGGACGCCAGAUUACAUUUCACCUGAAAUUUUAAGGGCACAAGAAGAUGGGAUGGGACGCUACGGAGCUGGCUGCGACUGGUGGUCCCUGGGAGUGGUGGUGUUUGAGAUGCUGUUCGGAGAGACCCCUUUCUACGCCGAGUCAUUAGUGGAGACAUAUGGGAGAAUCAUGAACCACGAGGACUCAUUCAAGUACCCAGACGAUGUUCAAGUUUCGGAAGAAGCUAAAGACCUGUUGUUGAAGUUCCUGUGCAAAGCAGAGAAGAGAUUUGGCAAGAAUGGACUGGGAGAGAUAAAAGAACAUCCAUGGUUUGCAAACUCAGUUGAUUUUGACACAAUUCAUACUGCAGCACCGCCCUACCAUCCGGACAUCAAAGGACCCGAAGAUACUUCGAACUUUGACAUUGACGAAACAGACAUCAAACGACUACAGAAUUCACUGUCGUCCAGAACUCUUCCUUCCGUCUUCUCCGGAGAAAGUCUGCCCUUCAUUGGGUUUACGUUCACAUCUACUUUUAAGCUCAAUGACAAAAAUCUCCGCCUCGGAACAGAAACAACUAGUGGUUCUCAAGAAGAUUUAGUUGACACUCAUAUGACCAACGGCUUCUCCGGUGCAAAUUUGCAACAUUUGAAGGCAGACAAGGAGAAGUUGGAAAAGAAGUGCUCAGAGUUGACGGCGGCAUUGGACAAGGCGAGGAACCACGAGAGAAUCAACACUCUGUUGAGACAGGAGAAGGUGAAGUUGAAGGAUGACCUAGAGAAUCUGUACAACCAGAUGGGCCAGCAGAGCAAGGAGCUGAGGGAGGCACUGCAGGCCAAGAAACUGGCCAGCCAAGACCACUCUGACAUGACACUCAAACUGAGUGAUGCUCAGAAAGAGAAACAGAAGCUAAUGAGGGUGUUGAGGGACAAGGACGAGGAGCUUGAGGAACUGAACGCGAAGGUGGACCAGAUGUCAACACAGCUGAGGACUGCCAAUGCAGACAGACGAAAACUUGAAAACGAGCUGGAUGAUUCAAAACUAGAACUAAACAGGGAAAAGAGACUCCGGAUGACUUACGAGGAAGAUGUGAAGCGUCUAGAGGGAGACUUGGACUCUGCGCAGGAGCGAAUGAUGCAGAGGACUCCAGGAGUGAACGAGUACUUGCAGGAAAACCAGAAGUUGAAGCAAGUGAUGGAGCAGAAUGCAGAGGAGCAUAGCAAUGAAAUGAAGAAGUUGGAAAACAGAAUGGAGGAAGUAAGCGCUGAGCUUUCUGAAAGUGAGAGCAGUCGAGCUGACCUGAAGAAAGACUUGUUGCUUCUGAAGCACAACCUGGACUCCACUAGGGAGCAACUGGUAGACCGUGAAACACGUCUGUCCAGACUGCAAUCUGACAAGUCACAGCUACUGCACCAGGUGGACAAAUAUGAGAUUCAGAUAAAGUCCCUGAUGGAGACUUGUUCGAACUUCGAGGCAGAAAACAAGAAACUCAAUCAGAAAGUGUCAGUCGAAGAAGAGUUUGAUAAGGACGUGGAGAGCAUUGCGCGAUGGGUAAAUGACGAGAAAGAAUCUCGGCAAUACCUGGAAGACCUCACACGACUUUUGAAAGACGACAUGGACCAACUGAAACAAACAGUUCUAGUUGGUGCAACCACGCCGAACAAGAGAGCAGGAGGGGGAGAUGAUAUCACGUGGCAGCAGAGAAGGAACAAUAAAGUGGAUAAAAAGGAGCUUUUACAGCUGACAUCAUCAUUAGAUCACGAGAUAAAAGCCAAGGAGGAGGUGACAAGAGAACUGAACGAAGCUAGAGAGAAGGUCAUGACUUUGGAAGAGAAACUAGACGAUUAUGAACGAGAGCUAGACAUUCUCCGCGAGCACAUGAAUUACUGUAACAAUAACAACGAGUUUUCGACCGACCCAGAAAACGAUAUGAGAGAUGCUCUAAACGGUGUCGACAAUGGAUAUUUAACAAUCAACACCUGUGGGACAGUGUCGCGGAACGUAUCCGAUAUGUCAUUUCUUCAUUUUCUUAAUGACCCAAUGGCAGCUUUGGGACAAAAAUAUCCCGAAACAUCAUCAGCUGUCGGAGCAGUUGAUUACUCGCCUAGAAUGCAAACACCUGUUAGGGAUAAUGAAGAUGCUGAAUCUAUGAAUCAUCGACAAUCAAUGUCACCGGUUGCUGAUGUAUCGCACCCAGGAGCCCCACCGAUUCCAGCGAAAGUUCCUCUAAUGUCGCAACAUCAGUUAUCGGUCAAUACCAAUGCAUCCGACUCUCAAUCGAGUUUAACUCCAAUCGAAUCUGCACAAUUUCAAUCUAGCCAACACGGCAGCAACAGACCUUUUUCGACAAAUCGAUCAGUUUCUUCACCUACAGGAGGAUCAACGAUGACAAAUCACAUGAUGAUGCACUCUCCGAGAAGUGUGACUAGUCAAACACAGCACAAGUUUGAAGGUCACACGUUAUUGGAACCCACCAAAUGUUGUCAUUGUAUGUCUCUUAUGCUGGGACUAGCGCGACAAGCUGUCAAAUGCACCUCGUGCUCUUUUAUGUGUCAUCCAAGAUGCGUAGAGAGUUUGCAGCACAGUAUUUGCCCGAUGCCAGCGGAACAAAUGAAGUCACAUCUAGGGAUUGAUCCGCAGACGGGAAUUGGAACUGCCUACGAGGGAUACGUGAAGAUUCCAAGAAGUGGGGGCGGGGUUAAGAAGGGAUGGGUGCGACAGUAUGCGGUGACGUGCGACUACAAGUUCUUUUUGUUCGAUUGUGUCGAGAAUGGCGGGAAGAGUCUGUCGAACAGUUCCAGUGGCUCAAAUAGCAGUCAGGGUUCGAGUGGAUCAGUCAGGAAGACUCUGAAGAUCACAGAAUGUAUUGAUAUGAAAGACGAGAACUUUUCUGUGAGUUCAGUGACCCAGAAUGACGUGAUCCAUGCGAGCAGGAAAGACCUGCCGUGUAUCUUCAAGAUCUGUGGCAGCAGCACCAGAGCCCCCACCCUCACCAAACACACUGUGCUCUGCCUGUGUGACAGCGAAGAGAAGUGCAACAAGUGGAUUGCGGCUCUGAGGGAGUUGUACUCUUUGUUAAACAAACACAAUCUACUCGCACCACCGGUUUUGGAAGCCAAAGAGGUGUUGGAUAACUCAUUGUCUCUCCUGAAGUUUGCAUCUUGCGCAACUCUAAUAGAUCCGAAUCGAAUUGCCAUUGGGGCCGAAGAGGGUUUGUUCUGUGUCAAUCUUCUUAAAGACACCAUCUGCAAACUGGGUGACUCGAAGAAAGUGGUUCAGGUGGAGAUCAUCAAGAGCCAGAGUGACUCCCUCCACAGCAUGCCAGACUCUUUCGUCAUCCUCUCGGGAAAGACGAAGCAACUCAAACUGUUCCCUACCUCAGUCUUGGACGGCCACGAACUAGACGUGAUCAAGAUACCAGACUCUAAAAACUGCUCUCUCUUCACAAUGGGACAACUACCUCCCCACCCGACCACAGGUCAAAGUGGGGCUAAUCUACUCUGCUUUGCUGUUAAAAACAAUGUCUACACUUUAGAAGUGUCGGCAAAAACACUAGCCGGCACUAAGUUGACUCCUAGUAAACUGACUGUGUUGCCGGGUAAUGUUCAAUGGAUGAGGUUGCUGGAUUCUGGAAAAGUGCUAUGUGGUUAUCCGAGUGGAUUCGCGACUAUGAAUCUGAAUGACAAAAUGAUGACACCAGAAAUUCUCGUGAAUCCUACAGAUCGUAGUUUGGGCUUCCUGGUGAAGAGUCAACUGGAUGCUCUGGCAGGACAUGCAACCUCAGAAAACACAUACUUCUUGUGCUUCUCAAGAUCUGGACUUGUCGUGGACAACAGGGGCAACAGAUGUUUUGCCGAGGACUUGCAAUGGCCCAUCCAGCCUUCUCACGUGGUUUUCUCUCCCCCUGAUCAUGUCAUCAGCUUCAGUCCCCAGUCUGUCGAUGUAUUUGAUGUGCACACCAUGAACUGGUUGCAGACCAUACCUCUCAAAAAGAGCACACCUUUGACAAGUGACGGGAAACUGGUUCUCUGUGGGGGAGAUGUUCCCAAAAUUGUGUAUUUACACAACAAGUCUAAACAUGGUGCUGAAGAAGUGUUCAUAACAUCUGCGGGUCUGGGAAAGUCUUUUACUUCGACUGGGUCCAUCAACGGAGGGGGAUCUAGUAGCGCGAAGAGCAGAAGAAGGUUUUCGUUCACCAAAACUAAAGACGAUGAGAGAGAACAACUUGCCAGAGCCUUAAAGAAUCUAGACGAGGACAAGAAGAGUAAACUGAUCUCGGGGCCGACCAACUUCUCCCACGUGUCUCACAUGGGACCCACUGCAGGACUACCCAUCCUCAGGGACCUCAAUGUAAACCCGCACCAAGUGACCGGAUCCUCGGAUAUCAUCAGGAUGAACAGCAUGAUUCUCUCCACUCCAGCCAGAAACAAAAUGAUGGCCAAUAUGAAUAGUACCAACUCUUCACAAACCGCAGGGCACAAUCUAGUGUCGGUGUCUUCGUCUAAUGCCGGCCAUGCUCUUCCUGUGACGCAAUCUUCUUCGACAGGAAUUUCCAGGAAUAUCCUGCCUAAUAGACCAAAUGUGAUGUCUGAAAUCAUUCAAAAUCCAGUCCCUUUUAUGGACAAUGACGAGGAGAAGCCGAGAAUAGCUCACGAAAUGUGGUAAACUGACCUUCAAUCACAAACUGAAUUGAAUGCAGGUAGGGACAAUCAGACUCUUGAAGGCGGAAGUAAAAUGAGUGAUAACAAGGCUUAAAGUAAUGCGUAAUGCUUCAAGUUCCGCCAAGCGACAAUAUUCAGAUUCCAAAAUUCGAAAACUCGGAUUUACAACGGAUUCAAUUUAUAUCCAGCGAUCUGGUCCAGUUCUCGUGACUUGGGUAUUCCAAAUUCUGAAGGUCUGGUUUAUGCGCUGAAUUGACAAUGUUGCUAUUUAUUGUAAUGUAAAUACAUAAAUUUUAGCUUAAAUUCCAAUUCUGUUGUUCGAAACUUUCCAAUAACGUUUUAAUAUUGCGUUUUUGGUGCUGGGGAGAUAGAUGCUAUAUGCACAAACUAAACUAAUAUUUUUGUGAAGAAUGUUGUCUUUAGUUUUCUGAUUAUCACUUUUGUAUUAUCACUUUUGUAUUAUCACUUUUGUAUAAUCACUUUUGCUAGAUUACAGUAGAUUAUAGAUUGAAAUAUUGUCAUUUUGUAUUAAUGUGGUCUUGAUUUCCAGAGCGAGUGCGGAAGACAUUUCUUUUUCAUACAAUCAAACUUUUUUUUUGAUCGCAAAGGGUUUGCUUUCUUUGAUCAUUGGUGCAAUAAUUAUUUCCUGCGCAAAAUUGUGUGUUAAACUAGAUUUAUUUGGACGAAAAAUAAAUUUUGUGUUUUCUCUGCCUAAUUCGAAAGUUAUCUGCUGCUUUUCAACUUGUUACCCUUGGUCUUCUUUCGUAAAAAAAAAAUAGUUAUGAACAAUUUAUUAUUUGGUAGCUAAAUCGUUUCUUUUUUGUUCAAACGCGAGCAUUCAGGCGCUGCUGUUGCUACUUUGUUGCCUUUUUAUCCUAUCCCAAUAUAAGUUUCAUAUUGAUUAUUGAA